CUACACUUGUCUCAGGUCUCAGGUGUCAGGCUCUGGAGCACUCAGGCUGACUCAGAAACUGACUCUCGGGGGAUCAAAAAAGGAGCAACUGUUCAAAAAUGAUGGAUCCCAUUUUUCAAGACUUGCCAUGCCACACAAGAUGAGACCCCACCGAGACAGGCUCUAACAGGCAUCAGGAAAAGAGGAUGCAGUGUGUUUCUUCACAGGGUCAGACCAGGGAGCUCCAGCCGGCCGGAGCUCCAGGUGUUUAUUCUGGUUUCACACUUGGUGCCCCGGCCCCUCCACCUUGCCGUCCCACUGCCUCUGUGGGCGGCGGGAGGGCGCCACGUGUCGGUGGGGGCGUCCGUGGGCGACAGCGCUGACGUCAGGAAACAAGGCCCCACCCACACAGCCUGGUUUUCAGUUUCACCAGGCUGCAAACACCAUUAUGCAAAUUAUUUUCCUCGCCCACACCCCCACCCCCAGCCCAGUCUUACAUAUUCAUUCUUCGGUCUGGAGUUAAUGGCCACCCGAGGCAACUGAGUAUUUGCAUCAUAUUUACUUUAAAAUGCCCAGGUGCAAUUUUGAAACAAGAUUCUCCUUUCGGAAGGGCAAUCGCGAAUAUAAAGUGAUGAAUUAGUAGCAGUGUCAAGAGUGAAGCCCCGAGGCGAACGCCAACUUCUACAGAAAAGGAGGUGGAAUGGCAGGUGCCGGGAAUCAUACAGAUUGAGGGAAGGCGACAACCGGGAGUGUGUCCUGACUCCUUCGCGGGGGCGGAGGGGAGACAGAGCCCGCGGAGAGUGGACAGAAUCCUCAUGGGUUUAGGAAAACAAAUGUCUAGCUCACAUUCAGGUCACGUUCUGGAAAUGGAGAAGUGCAGUCAUUUUUAUCUGCAUUUGCAAUUUAACUCAAGUGAUUUGAGGUACCGUCCACUCAGUCCAAAAAAAUCCCAACCAGAAGCAGUGUUAGUAAAAUGUGGAGGGGGGAAGGGGUGCCGCAAAGGGAUGCCCGCUUUUUACGUGAAAUUAUUUAGGGGUAUUUUAAUAUGAGUUUUAGACCGGAACCAUUCUUUUAAGCUGUAAUCACUAUCAUUUCAUUUAUGAGAGUCAGAUCAUCUCAGUGAAUGAUGUUGAAUUUUUUUUUCUAAAAGAUGUUAAGGGUUUCUCUCAGCAGAUACACGGGAGGAGCCGUUUCCAGGAGAGUCAUUUCUGCUUCCCCCAAAGACAUUCUUCCCUGGUCCCACAGACGCUUGGUUUCGUUUUCAAGGACCCACAGUUUUAGAAGGAUUGAAACAGCUGAGAAUAUUCAGGAAAGAGUGCCCAGACAGCAGGAGCUUGGUUAGUUAGGUGUGCAGCAGUCAAAGGAGCUUCGGCCCUGGGAAUGUCCUGGAGGGACAUGAGAACAGAUGGACUAACUGUUCUGUACCAAGGGACAGAAGGUGGAUCCGAAGCUGGGAAGUUUCCAGUAAACAGGCAGGUUCAAUGAAAACCAGAAUUUUUCAGCCAUGAGCAGGUGAUCUGGUGUCUGGUCACUGGAGGGGACAUCACAGAGUUGAAACAAGAGGUAUAGAGGCGUUGUAUGAGAUGGUCGUUGGGUCCUCUCUAACCGGGGCGCUGAGCCUGGGAAAGGAAUAAUAGCUUUGUGAAAUAUGACAGCAAGUGCCCAAGAGUAAAAUUAAUGCCGUAGCUGACAUUUUCUGUGCCCUACUCAGUAUGGAACACUGUGUUAAGUGUUUUACGCUCAACACUGGCAGCAGCCUCUGAAGCGGGUGUUAUCAUUUGCCUCUGUCUUACAGACGAGGAUGCUGAGCAUGCAGACGAAUUAUCCUAACUGGAGCAACUACUAAGUGGUGGGCUAGAAAUUCCAACCCUGGUCUGUGGGACUCCAGUGAUAAAAGAACCAGCACUCUCAAGGGAAGGGCCAAGCGGCUUGUACUGAAGAGUAUAAAAAGAAGAAAAAGUCCAGGAGAGAGACCUCAGUUCAUUCAGACAUUGCUUGUCUCCACCUGGUCCUCACCUUAGUCAUUGGCUACCUGAACAGAACAUGCGGGAGAAAUUAAGGUCAAAAAUUGCAAAGUAAAAUAAACAAAGACCAGAAAUCCAGCACAGAAUUCAGACCCAAAGACCACCAAAGAUAGCCAGCUGUUUGGAGGACGGUCAUAUACAACUUGAACUUGAAAGGUACACGGAAAAGACCUGGAGGAGGUGGAAUGGAUGGAAG
Molecule: long non-coding RNA, 2199 nt
Organism: Equus caballus (horse)
Lineage: Eukaryota; Metazoa; Chordata; Mammalia; Perissodactyla; Equidae
Source: Ensembl